RNAcentral lists this long non-coding RNA (1413 nucleotides) under Camelus dromedarius (Arabian camel). RNAcentral's name for it is "lncRNA (ENSCDRG00005003345.1)". The record is from RNAcentral. Lineage: Eukaryota; Metazoa; Chordata; Mammalia; Artiodactyla; Camelidae.
AUUGGGUUCCUGGGGAGAAAUUGAGCCUCUUCACUUCUGCCUGGUCUAAAUCGAGCAGUUCCUUGGUAACAGGCUCCAGGGUUUUGUGAUUGGCUAGCUGUGGAGGGAGUGGGAGGAGGGAAGUAAACUGCUGAUGGAGCUGCAGCAUCCCUGAGUCUCAGGCCGUGGGAGGGGGAGGGGAAGAGGAGGGCUGAGCAGUGGAGGGAAGAGGGAGCCAUUUCUCUCCAUUGACUGCAACCUCCGUGCUCACCACUCACAUUUUACUGGAAUCCAGAGGCCUCCGUGGCCAAGGGCUCCACAAUGCUGGAUAUUUUCAUCCUGAUGUUCUUUGCCAUUAUAGGCCUGGUCAUUCUGUCCUACAUUAUCUAUCUGCUCUAGGGGCCUGCAGCUACGGCAUGGAGCCUGCAGGAGAACAGCUCAGGGCGGAAGGAUGAAGCUGACUGGCCGAGCAUCCUGCCUGCUGACGCACCGGUGGAUUUUUGCUUCUGGUCAUUUCGGCUCCUGGACUCCAGUCCAACAAGAGGCCUCUUAUCAACAGCAGCAGUCCUGCUGCCCAGCAGACCUCUCCCAGAGCCUUCCGGAUAUGGUUAACCCCUGUCAAGCAAGGGGUUUUUUGAACUCAGAGGCAGAGCCACUCAGCUGGGACAUCAGGAAAGCAGCAUGGCUGGCAGAUGCUGCGUGCGUUUAAGUUGGAAGUAGAGGGUUGUCGAGAACACAGAGAGCUCCAGUGUAGGCUUGUUAAAGUUACUGUGGAGAACUGCUUAAAAAUUCAUUUUGAUAGCCAUUCCUUAGGUCUAAAUGCACCUGCAUAUUAUGCUAGAAUACAUUCUUUCCUUUCUCCCUCACAGGGGUUCCCUUGUAAGUUCAAAAGUCUGUUGUCUCUUCAUCUAUGAAGCAAUCACUUUAUCACUGUCUUUAAAGAUUGCACAAUCUGGGGUUGUGUGGUUUCCCGUGUCUCACUCUCUGGAAGGAACUUGUCAUUUGAGUUUUUAGAUUUUUCAUAUCUUCCCCACUCCAUAUCUCUUGUGCUCCAGCUUCUCAUUUAAAGAGAGAAACAGUUACACAGUCCUCAUUCUUUUUGCCUAGCUGAAUUAUAAAUUACUGAAACAAGAUGUCUUUAUUUAUCUUACUUGUUAUUUGGGAAAAAUCUCUCUCUUACACUCAAAUAAAUGGGUUUUUAUAUUGUCAAAUGUUCCUUUUCUUAAACAAAAAAUUUCAACAUAUUUCUGUUAGAUGUUGAAGAAACCAUUAAUUUGGCGGGCCAGAAUAGACUAGGGUGUUGAAUCUGUGGUAUCUAUUCCUUUGAGUAGUCCAUUGUGAUAGUUCUACAUUCGAUUUUUCUUUCUACUUAAAAAUAAACAAGGAGAAGGAUUAAUUUAAGAGUUUUUAUUCAUAACAUUGUGUUCAAUUUCC